Molecule: non-coding RNA, 191 nt
Organism: Xyrichtys novacula (pearly razorfish)
Lineage: Eukaryota; Metazoa; Chordata; Actinopteri; Labriformes; Labridae
Source: the annotation of a GenBank genome assembly
UCACCAAGCUGCCUAAAAGCUUUGUGGAGUUUUGGAUUCUGUUGGAGUUUUUUCAUAGAACCCCAACACUCUGCUGGGUUUCUAUAUCUUAACUGGGGAAGACUGUACCAGCACUUUUAAAGGCAAGGUAAAUUCCUUGAAAAACUCCAACAGAAUCCAAAACUCCACAAAGCUUUCAGGCAUCUUGGUGA